GACAGAGGGUGCAAACGUUGCUCGGAAUCACUGGGCGUAAAGGGCGUGUAGGCGGGAAGGAAAGUCAGAUGUGAAAUCCCUGGGCUCAACCCAGGAACUGCAUUUGAAACUCCCUUUCUUGAGUGUCGGAGAGGAAAGUGGAAUUCCUGGUGUAGAGGUGAAAUUCGUAGAUAUCAGGAGGAACACCGGUGGCGAAGGCAGCUUUCUGGACGACAACUGACGCUGAGACGCGAAAGCGUGGGGAGCAAACAGG
This 253-nucleotide ribosomal RNA is filed under the name uncultured bacterium. RNAcentral's name for it is "partial 16S ribosomal RNA". It matches the Rfam family "Bacterial small subunit ribosomal RNA", at positions 524 to 776 of the family's 1533-position model. The record is from RNAcentral.